UACGGGGGGGGCAAGCGUUGUUCGGAAUUACUGGGCGUAAAGGGCUCGUAGGCGGCCAACUAAGUCAGACGUGAAAUCCCCAGGCUCAACCUGGGAACUGCGUCUGAUACUGGAUGGCUUGAAUCCGGGAGAGGGAUGCAGAAUUCCAGGUGUAGCGGUGAAAUGCGUAGAUAUCUGGAGGAAUACCGGUGGCGAAGGCGGCAUCCUGGACCGGCAUUGACGCUGAGGAGCGAAAGCCAGGGGAGCAAACGGG
This 253-nucleotide ribosomal RNA is filed under the name uncultured bacterium. RNAcentral's name for it is "partial 16S ribosomal RNA". It matches the Rfam family "Bacterial small subunit ribosomal RNA", at positions 524 to 776 of the family's 1533-position model. RNAcentral also lists the same sequence under 1 other name. The record is from RNAcentral.